This 466-nucleotide ribosomal RNA is filed under the name uncultured bacterium. RNAcentral's name for it is "partial 16S ribosomal RNA". It matches the Rfam family "Bacterial small subunit ribosomal RNA", at positions 28 to 505 of the family's 1533-position model. The record is from RNAcentral.
GACGAACGCUGGCGGCGUGCUUAACACAUGCAAGUCGAACGGAAAGGCCCUGCUUUUGUGGGGUGCUCGAGUGGCGAACGGGUGAGUAACACGUGAGUAACCUGCCCUUGACUUUGGGAUAACUUCAGGAAACUGGGGCUAAUACCGGAUAGGAGCUCCUGCUGCAUGGUGGGGGUUGGAAAGUUUCGGCGGUUGGGGAUGGACUCGCGGCUUAUCAGCUUGUUGGUGGGGUAGUGGCUUACCAAGGCUUUGACGGGUAGCCGGCCUGAGAGGGUGACCGGCCACAUGGGGACUGAGAUACGGCCGAGACUCCUACGGGAGGCAGCAGUGGGGAAUAUUGCACAAUGGGCGGAAGCCUGAUGCAGCAACGCCGCGUGCGGGAUGACGGCCUUCGGGUUGUAAACCGCUUUCGCCUGUGACGAAGCGUGAGUGACGGUAAUGGGUAAAGAAGCACCGGCUAACUACG